Molecule: ribosomal RNA, 377 nt
Filed under: uncultured Streptococcus sp.
Lineage: Bacteria; Bacillati; Bacillota; Bacilli; Lactobacillales; Streptococcaceae
Description: bacterial SSU rRNA
Rfam family: Bacterial small subunit ribosomal RNA
Source: RNAcentral
AGAGAUAGAAAGUUACUUCGGUACAUCGGUGACAGGUGGUGCAUGGUUGUCGUCAGCUCGUGUCGUGAGAUGUUGGGUUAAGUCCGCAACGAGCGCAACCCCUAUUGUUAGUUGCCAUCAUUCAGUUGGGCACUCUAGCGAGACUGCCGGUAAUAAACCGGAGGAAGGUGGGGAUGACGUCAAAUCAUCAUGCCCCUUAUGACCUGGGCUACACACGUGCUACAAUGGUUGGUACAACGAGUUGCGGGUCGGUGACGGCGAGCUAAUCUCUUAAAGCCAAUCUCAGUUCGGAUUGUAGGCUGCAACUCGCCUACAUGAAGUCGGAAUCGCUAGUAAUCGCGGAUCAGCACGCCGCGGUGAAUACGUUCCCGGGCCUU